AUUGAACGCUGGCGGCAGGCUUAACACAUGCAAGUCGAGCGGAGACUUCGGUCUUAGCGGCGAACGGGUGAGUAAUACCUAGGAAUCUGCCUAUUAGUGGGGGAUAACGAAUCGAAAGGUUCGCUAAUACCGCAUACGUCCUACGGGAGAAAGGGGGGAGUCUUCGGACCUCUCGCUAAUAGAUGAGCCUAGGCCGGAUUAGCUAGUUGGUAGGGUAAAGGCCUACCAAGGCGACGAUCUGUAGCUGGUCUGAGAGGAUGGCCAGCCACACUGGAACUGAGACGCGGUCCAGACUCCUACGGGAGGCAGCAGUGGGGAAUAUUGGACAAUGGGGGCGAACCCUGAUCCAGCCAUGCCGCGUGUGUGAAGAAGGCCUCGGUUGUAAGACGACUUAAGUACGAGGAGGAAGG
RNAcentral lists this ribosomal RNA (410 nucleotides) under uncultured bacterium. RNAcentral's name for it is "bacterial SSU rRNA". It matches the Rfam family "Bacterial small subunit ribosomal RNA", at positions 30 to 452 of the family's 1533-position model. The record is from RNAcentral.